This 262-nucleotide ribosomal RNA is filed under the name uncultured bacterium. Its description in RNAcentral is "partial 16S ribosomal RNA". It matches the Rfam family "Bacterial small subunit ribosomal RNA", at positions 332 to 588 of the family's 1533-position model. The record is from RNAcentral.
UUGACCUACGGGAGGCAGCAGUAGGGAAUCUUCCACAAUGGGCGAAAGCCUGAUGGAGCAACGCCGCGUGGGUGAAGAAGGCCUUCGGAUCGUAAAAACCUGUUGUUAGAGAAGAAAGCGCGUGAGAGUAACUGUUCACAUUUCGACGGUAUCUAACCAGAAAGCCACGGCUAAUUACGUGCCAGCAGCCGCGGUAAUACGUAGGUGGCAAGCGUUAUCCGGAUUUAUUGGGCGUAAAGGGAACGCAGGCGGUCUUUUAAGU